GUUGAGGGGAAUGGUGUCUGGUUCGAGACCAUUCAUUCUAAAGCAAAGUUCAUCCAUCGUAUCAGAGAAUGAUCUCGGACCAGGCUUCAUUCCCCCUAGC
MicroRNA precursor from Vigna angularis (adzuki bean), 100 nucleotides. It matches the Rfam family "mir-166 microRNA precursor family". From Rfam's summary of the family: This family represents the plant microRNA (miRNA) precursor mir-166. Animal miRNAs are transcribed as ~70nt precursors and subsequently processed by the Dicer enzyme to give a ~22nt product. In plants the precursor sequences may be longer, and the carpel factory (caf) enzyme appears to be involved in processing. The record is from Rfam. NCBI's taxonomy places the organism in Eukaryota, Viridiplantae, Streptophyta, Magnoliopsida, Fabales, Fabaceae.